GAUGAAGAACGUAGCGAAAUGCGAUAAGUAAUGUGAUUUGCAGAAUUCAGUGAAUCAUCGAAUCUUUGAACGCACAUUGCGCCCGCCAGCACUCUGGCGGGCAUGCCUGUUCGAGCGUCAUUUCAACCAUCAAGCCCCCAGGGGCUUGUGCUGGGGCCCUGCGGCUGCCCGCAGGCCCUGAAAACCAGUGGCGGGCUCGCUAGUCACACCGAGCGCAGUAGCACAUCUCGCUCAGGGCGUGCGGCGGGCUCCUGCCGUGAAACCCCCCACUGUAACCCCAAAGGUUGACCUCGGAUCAGGUAGGAAUACCCGCUGAACUUAAGCAUAUCAAUAAGCGGAGGA
Molecule: unclassified non-coding RNA, 342 nt
Filed under: soil metagenome
Description: partial contains 5.8S ribosomal RNA, internal transcribed spacer 2, and large subunit ribosomal RNA
Rfam family: 5.8S ribosomal RNA (bases 1-120)
Source: RNAcentral